UGAGGAAUAUUGGUCAAUGGACGAGAGUCUGAACCAGCCAAGUAGCGUGAAGGAUGACUGCCCUAUGGGUUGUAAACUUCUUUUAUACGGGAAUAAAGUGAGGCACGUGUGCCUUUUUGUAUGUACCGUAUGAAUAAGGAUCGGCUAACUCCGUGCCAGCAGCCGCGGUAAUACGGAGGAUCCGAGCGUUAUCCGGAUUUAUUGGGUUUAAAGGGAGCGUAGGUGGAUUGUUAAGUCAGUUGUGAAAGUUUGCGGCUCAACCGUAAAAUUGCAGUUGAAACUGGCAGUCUUGAGUACAGUAGAGGUGGGCGGAAUUCGUGGUGUAGCGGUGAAAUGCUUAGAUAUCACGAAGAACUCCGAUUGCGAAGGCAGCUCACUAGACUGCAACUGACACUGAUGCUCGAAAGUGUGGGUAUCAAACAGGAUUAGAUACCCUGGUAGUCCACACAGUAAACGAUGAAUACUCGCUGUUUGCGAUAUACAGUAAGCGGCCAAGCGAAAGCAUUAAGUAUUCCACCUGGGGAGUACGCCGGCAACGGUGAAACUCAAAGGAAUUGACGGGGGCCCGCACAAGCGGAGGAACAUGUGGUUUAAUUCGAUGAUACGCGAGGAACCUUACCCGGGCUUAAAUUGCAUUUGAAUAAUCUGGAAACAGGUUAGCCGCAAGGCAAAUGUGAAGGUGCUGCAUGGUUGUCGUCAGCUCGUGCCGUGAGGUGUCGGCUUAAGUGCCAUAACGAGCGCAACCCUUAUCUUUAGUUACUAACAGGUCAUGCUGAGGACUCUAGAGAGACUGCCGUCGUAAGAUGUGAGGAAGGUGGGGAUGACGUCAAAUCAGCACGGCCCUUACGUCCGGGGCUACACACGUGUUACAAUGGGGGGUACAGAAGGCAGCUACCUGGCGACAGGAUGCUAAUCCCAAAAACCUCUCUCAGUUCGGAUCGAAGUCUGCAACCCGACUUCGUGAAGCUGGAUUCGCUAGUAAUCGCGCAUCAGCCAUGGCGCGGUGAAUACGUUCCC
This 1017-nucleotide ribosomal RNA is filed under the name uncultured bacterium. RNAcentral's name for it is "bacterial SSU rRNA". It matches the Rfam family "Bacterial small subunit ribosomal RNA", at positions 355 to 1375 of the family's 1533-position model. The record is from RNAcentral.